Molecule: long non-coding RNA, 1731 nt
Organism: Equus asinus (donkey)
Lineage: Eukaryota; Metazoa; Chordata; Mammalia; Perissodactyla; Equidae
Source: Ensembl
GCCUCAGGGCAGGCUUCCUGGGGAAGGACAACACGCCGCGAGACCUAUAAAGGAAGGAAGGGGAAAGGUGCUCCAGAUAGAGGUCACGGCUUGAGCAAGUGCCUGGCGAGGGGAACCUGCAUGGUGCGCACUGCGAAUUCUAAGCCUCGAGGAGGAACCUAGAGGGAGGAAGAGAGGUCUGCAGGGAAUUCAAAUUGACCCUAAGCUAACAUCUGUGCCAGUCUUCCUCUACUUUAUAUAUGGGACGCUGCCACAGCAUGGCUUGAUGAGUAGUGCGAAGGUCCGAACCAGGGAUUGGAAUCUGUGAACCCUGGACCGCCAAAGCAGAAAGCGUGAACUUAACCACUACUCCAUGGAGGGACCACCGUGCCCAGUUGGUUUAAAUCAGCGCCUCUGAGAUGGCAGCACCAGGAGACCCCUUGGGCUCCAAGCAUCCAACCCCCAUGAGACAGCGGAGCUUCAUCCUGCAAGGCACGGCACCAAGUCAAAGAACUGGGUGAGCCCCCUCACACGGAGGGCGCUGGAUAGAGACGUUUAGUGUAACCAGAAAUUCAUUCUUUCCUCCAGCAAAUGUUUAUUAAGCAUCCACUAUGUUCCAGCUGUUAGAAGCCGUGGGGUUGCAACAGACAAUAAACCAAUAUAGUCUGUGUGAGUGUGUGUGUGUGUGUGUGUGUAUGUGUGUGAGAUGUUGAAAAGUUCUCCUAGGGAGAAAAAUUAAGACGGGAAGGGGAACAAGGAAUGUGGAAAUGGUUUGCAAUUUGAAAUAGGAUGGUGCAGGAAGGCCUUCUGGGAAGGGACCUUUGAAUAGAGAUCAGAAGAUAUGGUGGGAAUAAGCCAUGAAGACAUCUGAGGGAAGAGGGUCCCAGGCAGAGGGGACAGCAAGUGCAAAUGCCCUGGGGCAAGAUUGUGCUUGUCUUGGUUCAAGGAGCAGUGAAGAAGGCAGAGAGGGGGCUGAGGCAGGGGGCCAGAUGGAGUAAGGCCUUCCAGGUCACCAGGAUGCCCCAAAGUGGAUAUAAUACAUAGUGACAAAGGUACACAAUAGGAGUGAGGCCCAGAGCCGCUAAUUAGGCAACUCUAAACUUGUGUCUCAUUACCCAACCACACCUCCUGCAGUGCACUAUGAAUUAAUAUUUUCUAUAAAUCCUGUAAUUAUCUUGUGAAUAGCACAAUUAUAUUGCAUUGUAUUUGUAUGUGUUAAAAGCGCUCAUUUGUUAAAUGUAAACAUUUGAAAUAUACCAUAUAUUAUGCAGCCCUUUUCACACUUUUAUUUAAUAAACUGGAAGCCUUAAAAUUGGAAGCAGAAGGGCCUUUUCUUCCAAGAGUUCCCUGGAGGCAGGUCUACACUCACACUCAUCCACACCCUCACAUACACCACACUGACUCACCCACUCACCCACAGUGCCCAGCCAGAACCCCGGGCUGGGAGGCAGAGACCUGUUCACCUGCCACUCGGGGUGGCCUCGGGCAGAUCCCUGCAGUGUCUUCCACUCCCUCCACCUCACCUUGCCCAGCCCUUAACAGUUUAUAGACAGCGUCCUUGUCCUCAUGGACCUUCACUACAAAAUGGGCAGGGGUUAAUGUGUCCAUUUUACAGACAGGUAAACUGAGGCUCUGAGUGGUGCCUGCUCAAAGUGGCUGAGGAUGGAACAGGGAGACUAGAGAAGGCAAAAUGGGGAUGGGGAAGAUUUAGAAGUUCAAAGGUGAGGAGAGGGGCGGGAGACUGUCUUUGCU